UACGGAGGAUGCGAGCGUUAUCCGGAUUUAUUGGGUUUAAAGGGUGCGUAGGCGGCUUUUUAAGUCAGCGGUGAAAUUUUGCAGCUUAACUGUAACAGUGCCGUUGAUACUGGGGAGCUAGGAUUUGGUUGCUGUGGGUGGAAUGUGUGGUGUAGCGGUGAAAUGCUUAGAGAUCACACAGAAUAUCGAUUGCGAAGGCAGCUCACAAAGCCAAGAUUGACGCUGAGGCACGAAAGCGUGGGGAUCAAACAGGAUUA
RNAcentral lists this ribosomal RNA (257 nucleotides) under uncultured prokaryote. Its description in RNAcentral is "partial 16S ribosomal RNA". It matches the Rfam family "Bacterial small subunit ribosomal RNA", at positions 524 to 780 of the family's 1533-position model. The record is from RNAcentral.